This 358-nucleotide ribosomal RNA is filed under the name Gomphus kurilis. RNAcentral's name for it is "partial 12S ribosomal RNA". Lineage: Eukaryota; Metazoa; Arthropoda; Insecta; Odonata; Gomphidae. The record is from RNAcentral.
UCUAAAUGUAAAAUUUUUAAACUAGGGUAGUAAUAGUUAAGUUCUUGAAACCCAAAGAAUUUGGCGGUAUUUUAGUCCUUUCAGAGGAAUCUGUCCCAUAAUCGACAGUCCACGAGAGAAAUUACUUAUUCUUGUAUUUCAGUUUGUAUACCUCCGUCAUAAGAAGAUCUUUUUAGAGAUAAAAUUUUCUUGAUAUUUAAAGUAUAGGAUGUCAGGUCAAGGUGCAAUUUAUGAAUAAGGGGAGAUGGAUUACAAUAAAUUUAUUUAUACGGAUUAAAUUAUUUAAUUUUUUUUAUGAAGGGGGAUUUGAUAGUAAUUUUAAAUUAUUUAUUAUUAUGAUUUUGGCUCUAAAAUAUGC